UCUCACAAAUCAAUAUUCAAACUUUCUUCAACAUCCAAUUUUCUCUCUCACCUUCACCAUAAUUGAAGAAAAGAUAGGGGUUGUUCGCCGGAUCGUUUUAUCACAGGAAAACUCUGUUCCUCGUCUCAUAGUUUUUCUGAUCAACAGAUGAAGUUCGCUGUUUCGUUUCUCAGAUCCGAAUCGAACAAAAGGUGAAGUUCGCUGGAUCGCCGGAUCGCUGAUCAAUAGGUGAAGUUCGUCGGAUCGCUGCAUCGCCGGAAUCAAAGAAAAAAAGUCGGAUCUCUCGAUUUCUCUCGGGUAUAUCAGAUAAAAGUUUGCAAAUGAUUUUCGAGAGUUAUCUUCAUCUAGAGUCACUCGGUGCGUCAAGAUAACAGACGGGGGCUUGCGGCAUGUAAUGGUCAAGUGCUCUGGCCUCGAGAGCCUAAAUCUUUAUGCACUUUCAAGAAUCUAUCCGAUGAUAACGCUUUUCUCUAUAGCCAAAUGCAAAAACAUUCGUACUCUCAGUUGUAUGAUUUACAUUUUACAAUACUGAAGUGUUUGCAAUCUUCUAACAUCGACAUAUUCAUACGAUGUUUGGGUAAGGCACAAAUUAAGCAUGGUUAACGGUUAGUCUUUAGUGCUACUUAUUGUUUGGAGAUUGCAAAAAGUGUGCGGUGCUUUGACUUUAUAAGUCAAAAGGGAUACACAUCACAUACACUUUGACUUUAUAGGUCAAACAAGCCAUAUUUCAACUUGAAUACAACUUCAGACAUGAUUAGUCAAGCCUGCUAUAUUUCAUCUUAAAAAUUGAUAUGACUUCAUAAAAGAUUUUCACAACUCUAUAACAUCAAUUUUUAUGUUGGUUUUAUUCUUUAACUAAAUCCAUAAUGAUUUGACAACCAAAAGCACUAGGUUUGAAUUAUAAAGUCAAAGUCUAUACCAUAUAUUGAAUUGUCCCAAUCUCGCAACAUUGGACCGUGCAUGUAUUUUCUUGAUCGAAAGACGAAAGACAUACCCUUUGACUUUUUAGGUCAAAUAGACUUCAUUUCAACUUCGAAAUUGAUACGAUCAUUCUCUCUUGAAAUACCAACUUCAUAGUAAGAAACAGAAACAUGGCAGCAUUUAUGUCAAAAUUAUGAGAAAUUGUUGUUUUUACAUUUCAGUUUCUUUUCAAGUCGAAACAUUAAGGUUGCAAUGCCUGUUAGGAACUAUACUACAUCGAGCAUGAAAUUCAGGAGACGUCGUAAACGAGGAAAGUGGAGAUGGAAGGUCGAUAAGGAUGAUUCACGUAUGAG
Helianthus annuus (common sunflower) is the source of this 1274-nucleotide long non-coding RNA. RefSeq lists it as uncharacterized. NCBI's taxonomy places the organism in Eukaryota, Viridiplantae, Streptophyta, Magnoliopsida, Asterales, Asteraceae. The record is from RefSeq and is a predicted model, not a curated record. The transcript has 5 exons.